Molecule: ribosomal RNA, 468 nt
Filed under: uncultured bacterium
Lineage: Bacteria
Description: partial 16S ribosomal RNA
Rfam family: Bacterial small subunit ribosomal RNA
Source: RNAcentral
GACGAACGCUGGCGGCGUGCUUAACACAUGCAAGUCGAACGGAAAGGCCCUGCUUUUGUGGGGUGCUCGAGUGGCGAACGGGUGAGUAACACGUGAGUAACCUGCCCUUGACUUUGGGAUAACUUCAGGAAACUGGGGCUAAUACCGGAUAGGAGCUCCUGCUGCAUGGUGGGGGUUGGAAAGUUUCGGCGGUUGGGGAUGGACUCGCGGCUUAUCAGCUUGUUGGUGGGGUAGUGGCUUACCAAGGCUUUGACGGGUAGCCGGCCUGAGAGGGUGACCGGCCACAUUGGGACUGCGAGACGGCCCAGACUCCUACGGGAGGCAGCAGUGGGGAGUAUUGCACAAUGGGCGGAAGCCUGAUGCAGCAACGCCGCGUGCGGGAUGACGGCCUUCGGGUUGUAAACCGCUUUCGCCUGUGACGAAGCGUGAGUGACGGUAAUGGGUAAAGAAGCACCGGCUAACUACGUG